GUACACACCGCCCGUCGCUGCUACCGAUUGAAUGGCUUAGUGAGUUCCAUGGAUUCGCGGUCUUGCCGGGUUCGCUCGGCAUUGGCCGUGGAGAAGUGGAUCAAACUUGACUAUUUAGAGGAAGCAAAAGUCGUAACAAGGUUUCCGUAGGUGAACCUGCAGAAGGAUCA
This 170-nucleotide ribosomal RNA is filed under the name uncultured eukaryote. RNAcentral describes it as "partial small subunit ribosomal RNA". It matches the Rfam family "Eukaryotic small subunit ribosomal RNA", at positions 1662 to 1828 of the family's 1831-position model. The record is from RNAcentral.